ACAGCGGUGGUUCAGUGGUGGAAUACUUGCCUUCCGUGCAGAAGGCCUGGGUUUGAUUCCUGGCUCAUGUA
This 71-nucleotide transfer RNA is filed under the name Loxodonta africana (African savanna elephant). It matches the Rfam family "tRNA". Rfam says of the family: Transfer RNA (tRNA) molecules are approximately 80 nucleotides in length. Their secondary structure includes four short double-helical elements and three loops (D, anti-codon, and T loops). Lineage: Eukaryota; Metazoa; Chordata; Mammalia; Proboscidea; Elephantidae. The record is from Rfam by way of RNAcentral.